GAUGAACGCUGACAGCAUGCUUAACACAUGCAAGUCUUUGGCGAAGCUGUGCUUGCACCGCCUAGCCAAGGCGGACGGGUGAGUAACGCGUAAGGAACUUGCCCUGCAGUCAGGGAUAACAGACGGAAACGACUGAUAAGACCUGGUAAAGUCAGGCGGACUCAUGUCCAGCCUGAUGAAAAGAGAUGCUGCAGGAGAGCCUUGCGUCCUAUUAGCUUGUUGGUGGGGUAACGGCCCACCAAGGCGAUGAUAGGUAGCCGGCCUGAGAGGGUGGACGGCCACAAGGGGACUGAGAUACGGCCCUUACGCCUACGGGAGGCAGCAGGGGGGAAUAUUGGACAAUGGGGGCAACCGUGAUCCAGCAAUUCUGUGUGCACGAUGAAGGUUUUCGGAUUGUAAAGUGCUUUCAGCAGGGAAGAAAAAAAUGACGGUACCUGCAGAAGAAGCGACGGCUAAAUACGUG
RNAcentral lists this ribosomal RNA (463 nucleotides) under uncultured bacterium. Its description in RNAcentral is "partial 16S ribosomal RNA". It matches the Rfam family "Bacterial small subunit ribosomal RNA", at positions 28 to 507 of the family's 1533-position model. The record is from RNAcentral.